Rhipicephalus sanguineus (brown dog tick) is the source of this 306-nucleotide long non-coding RNA. RefSeq lists it as uncharacterized. NCBI's taxonomy places the organism in Eukaryota, Metazoa, Arthropoda, Arachnida, Ixodida, Ixodidae. The transcript has 3 exons. The record is from RefSeq and is a predicted model, not a curated record.
GAACGGCGGUUAUAUUUGUCCGUGGACCCAAGACUUCGUUGACGGGCAAAUAUGUCAGAUUUUCUUGUUUUUUAUUUGUGGCAUCUUAUUGUAAGACCGUGACAUAUUUUGCCGUUUUCUCUAGGGAACCCUGCAACAAGGACUGUAGUGUGAAUAGCGUGCUGCGCUGCUCUCGCCAACUGAAAAGAACUCUGGUGUGCUGUAAAUGCCGACUGCACAAUAUGUGACUGGCCCGCGGCUGCUUUGAAGUUUGUGCGCUGUGGAGCUUGAAGCACUUCUCGGAAUUUCAGCACACUCGCAUUUAUU